CAGUAGCCGCGGUAAUACAGAGGGUGCGAGCGUUAAUCGGAUUUACUGGGCGUAAAGCGUGCGUAGGCGGCUUUUUAAGUCGGAUGUGAAAUCCCUGAGCUUAACUUAGGAAUUGCAUUCGAUACUGGGAAGCUAGAGUAUGGGAGAGGAUGGUAGAAUUCCAGGUGUAGCGGUGAAAUGCGUAGAGAUCUGGAGGAGUACCGAUGGCGAAGGCAGCCAUCUGGCCUAAUACUGACGCUGAGGUACGAAAGCAUGGGGAGCAAACAGGAUUAGAUACCCCCGUAGUCCCUGUCUCUUAUAC
Molecule: ribosomal RNA, 301 nt
Filed under: uncultured bacterium
Lineage: Bacteria
Description: partial 16S ribosomal RNA
Rfam family: Bacterial small subunit ribosomal RNA
Source: RNAcentral